UUUUCCGUGAAACGUCAACUAUGUCUAAUUAAUUUUUCUUGUUUAAAUGGUUGUUUAAUGCGUUUCAAACGGUUUUUGGGCCCCACAAAGCAUGUUUAAUGUAAUUUUGUGGUUAUGUUGUGCGACAGUCGUCAUGAAUGUGUGUAUUAUGUUGACCUUUGCACAUGUAGGGCGAACUAGUUAGUUUGGUUAUUUUGUUAAAAGAUUUCCAAUGUCCGUGUUUCUUCAAGCUACGAUGGCAAUGUUUGACGUGUCGAGAGAUCAAAGUCCUAUGAUUAAAUUGGCUAAGUAUUUUAUUCUGCGUGGUAUUUAAGCCACAUUUGUGUACGCUUUGGUAUGAUGUGCUGACGAUAAGCAAAAUCAGAAGAUAUUUAAUAUGUUGACAAAUUAAAACAAACGUAGUAAAAGGUGUCCGACUGGUGACAAUAAUAAAAAAAUCUUUUACUCCA
Molecule: long non-coding RNA, 449 nt
Organism: Zophobas morio
Lineage: Eukaryota; Metazoa; Arthropoda; Insecta; Coleoptera; Tenebrionidae
Exons: 2
Source: RefSeq, a predicted model, not a curated record